This 253-nucleotide ribosomal RNA is filed under the name uncultured bacterium. Its description in RNAcentral is "partial 16S ribosomal RNA". It matches the Rfam family "Bacterial small subunit ribosomal RNA", at positions 524 to 776 of the family's 1533-position model. The record is from RNAcentral.
UACGUAGGGGGCUAGCGUUGUCCGGAAUCAUUGGGCGUAAAGCGCGUGUAGGCGGUCCGGUAAGUCCGCUGUGAAAGUCGAGGGCUCAACCCUCGAAUGCCGGUGGAUACUGUCGGGCUUGAGUACGGGAGAGGCGAGUGGAAUUCCUGGUGUAGCGGUGAAAUGCGCAGAUAUCAGGAGGAACACCGAUUGCGAAGGCAGCUCGCUGGAACGUUACUGACGCUGAGACGCGAAAGCGUGAGGAGCAAACAGG